Long non-coding RNA from Xenia sp. Carnegie-2017, 124 nucleotides. RefSeq lists it as uncharacterized. NCBI's taxonomy places the organism in Eukaryota, Metazoa, Cnidaria, Anthozoa, Malacalcyonacea, Xeniidae. The record is from RefSeq and is a predicted model, not a curated record. The transcript is spliced from 3 exons.
GCAGUGGUUCAACGCAGAGUCUUUGCGAGAUUAUGUAGUUUUAUAUAGGUGAUAAGCUAUAAGCCGCUAUGUUUUGUUCAUGACUGUAGAGUUUCGUUUAUUCGUAAUGUUUUACGUGCGUGUU